This 253-nucleotide ribosomal RNA is filed under the name uncultured bacterium. Its description in RNAcentral is "partial 16S ribosomal RNA". It matches the Rfam family "Bacterial small subunit ribosomal RNA", at positions 524 to 776 of the family's 1533-position model. The record is from RNAcentral.
UACAGAAGUAACAAGCGUUGUUCGGAAUUACUGGGCGUAAAGGGCGCGUAGGCGGUUCGUUAAGUCCUGUGUGAAAUCCCCCGGCUCAACUGGGGAACUGCACAGGAAACUAGCGGGCUUGAGUUCGGGAGAGGGAAGCGGAAUUCCGGGUGUAGCGGUGAAAUGCGUAGAUAUCCGGAGGAACACCGGUGGCGAAGGCGGCUUCCUGGACCGACACUGACGCUGAGGCGCGAAAGCUAGGGGAGCAAACGGG